Molecule: ribosomal RNA, 281 nt
Filed under: Enterobacter asburiae
Lineage: Bacteria; Pseudomonadati; Pseudomonadota; Gammaproteobacteria; Enterobacterales; Enterobacteriaceae
Description: partial 23S ribosomal RNA
Source: RNAcentral
GGCGCUGGAGAAUUGAGGGGGGCUGCUCCUAGUACGAGAGGACCGGAGUGGACGCAUCACUGGUGUUCGGGUUGUCAUGCCAAUGGCACUGCCCGGUAGCUAAAUGCGGAAAAGAUAAGUGCUGAAAGCAUCUAAGCACGAAACUUGCCCCGAGAUGAGUUCUCCCUGACYCYYURAGRGUCCUGAAGGAACGUUGAAGACGACGACGUUGAUAGGUCGGGUGUGUAAGCGCAGCGAUGCGUUGAGCUAACCGAUACUAAUGAACCGUGAGGCUUAACCUU